RNAcentral lists this ribosomal RNA (890 nucleotides) under Clonostachys rogersoniana. RNAcentral's name for it is "partial large subunit ribosomal RNA". It matches the Rfam family "Eukaryotic large subunit ribosomal RNA", at positions 37 to 963 of the family's 3401-position model. The record is from RNAcentral. Lineage: Eukaryota; Fungi; Ascomycota; Sordariomycetes; Hypocreales; Bionectriaceae.
AGCAUAUCAAUAAGCGGAGGAAAAGAAACCAACAGGGAUUGCCCUAGUAACGGCGAGUGAAGCGGCAACAGCUCAAAUUUGAAAUCUGGCGCAAGCCCGAGUUGUAAUUUGUAGAGGAUGUUUCUGGCGACGUGCCUUCCGAGUUCCCUGGAACGGGACGCCAUAGAGGGUGAGAGCCCCGUACGGUUGGAUGCCUAGCCUCUGUGAAACUCCUUCGACGAGUCGAGUAGUUUGGGAAUGCUGCUCUAAAUGGGAGGUAUACGUCUUCUAAAGCUAAAUACCGGCCAGAGACCGAUAGCGCACAAGUAGAGUGAUCGAAAGAUGAAAAGCACUUUGAAAAGAGGGUUAAAAAGUACGUGAAAUUGUUGAAAGGGAAGCGUUCAUGACCAGACUUGGGCAGGUUGAUCAUCCGUGGUUCUCCGCGGUGCACUCUGCCUGCCCAGGCCAGCAUCAGUUCGCCCCGGGGGAUAAAGGUUUCGGGAAUGUGGCUCCUCCGGGAGUGUUAUAGCCCGUUGCGUAAUACCCUGGGACGGACUGAGGUUCGCGCUCUGCAAGGAUGCUGGCGUAAUGGUCAUCAACGACCCGUCUUGAAACACGGACCAAGGAGUCGUCUUCGUAUGCGAGUGUUCGGGUGUCAAACCCCUACGCGUAAUGAAAGUGAACGUAGGAGAGAGCUUCGGCGCAUCUCCGACCGAUCCUGAUGUUCUCGGAUGGAUUUGAGUAAGAGCAUACGGGGCCGGACCCGAAAGAAGGUGAACUAUGCCUGUAUAGGGUGAAGCCAGAGGAAACUCUGGUGGAGGCUCGCAGCGGUUCUGACGUGCAAAUCGAUCGUCAAAUAUGGGCAUGGGGGCGAAAGACUAAUCGAACCUUCUAGUAGCUGGUUUCCGCCG